Molecule: long non-coding RNA, 3085 nt
Organism: Paramormyrops kingsleyae
Lineage: Eukaryota; Metazoa; Chordata; Actinopteri; Osteoglossiformes; Mormyridae
Source: RefSeq, a predicted model, not a curated record
UCCGACUGCAAGUUCUGCUUUUUUUCUCGGUAUAUGGUGGUGAUACGACUACAUUCGUUCAACUUUGAUACGUUUUAACAUAACAGCGCAAACAAAUUGCCUUCUAAGCGUUACAAUGUAGAACAUGAAGACUCCAGUUACGUUUAUUAUGAGCAUACGCAAUUUCAGGUUAACACAGUAUUGAUUAAUGAUUUACGGUAAAGCGAGAAUUAAGAUAUAAUGUUGCUUGUACGUAUGUAAUAGACUAUAGACAGAUCGUAUAUGUUUGCAGGAUUUGGGCGAAAGACGUGCAGCGUAUCCUACUUUUCCGAGGUGCAAGGGACCCGCGAAUGGCGUUCUGUCGGCUUUGCGAAAUGGCGGACCAAGGAGGAGACAGCGAGGCUGAAAUCCGACUACAGGGCUCCAAGCUGCAGAUAAGAUACGGACACGGGACGCCGCCAGGAUCGGGAUUCAGCCUCCUAUACUGAUGUUUCGGCCAUUAUAUCAGGCAGUUCCCGAAUAGUUUUCUUUUGAGUCCAUUUUUUCUUAUGUAAUGCAAAGGUUUGAAAGAAAAAUCAGUUAAAAGAAAGAUACUUUAAUUCUUUUUUUAAAACCUCAUUAUACACUACGUUGGAAAAACAUAAAAUAAAAGCAUAUAUCACUUCUAUUCUAAAACUUGUAAAAAGUAGCAACGUAAAAUGAAUUACAGACAAAAGUAUACAAUUCCUUGUCUUAGUAAAACAAAGGGAGAAAAAUCAUUAAGGACAGUAAUGACGAGAUACUAGAGGAGAGACCACACUACUUGUAAAAAUGUAAAAAAAAAAAAACGAAGUCUCAUAUUCACAGAUGUUUGUGGGAGGAAUUUAAGAUGCAGUCUCAUGCCCAUACACGUCCUGUUCCUGCGUCAGUCAUUUUUUUACGUUCUGAAAAUGUACAAUUAUCACAUUCAAAGACACCCUUAUUCUACAAAUAGUUUAGAUCACCAUGGGUCUUUGUAAUGUAUUCACUGAAUAAUGAACUACUGCAUUGGUUGGCUUAUUCAUUUAUGUAACUCUGGCUUAAUUGAGAUAAUGAUCUGCAAGCACUAAGCAAGAAAUGAACCAGCAGAAACCUCCAAAUGAAAAUGUUACAUCUGAGGGUACUUUUCUUUUUCCAACUCUGCAGAGAAAGUGGCGGGGCAGAGUAGGUAUCGUGCUGCAUUGUCCCUCAUGGCAUAGGCUGAUGGUAUCACCACAAGUUGAUGGUACCAUGGUUUUUUUUUUGGCUAGGCUUUUGGAUAUCAGUUCUUUGUUUAACAUUUCCUGUUUUUUUUUUUUUUUUGAAGUGCUGAGGGUAGACAAGUACACAGAUACAACUUGGAAUUCUCAAGACAAAGUGAAACUUUGUUUUUCAGGUUCAUGUACAGUGUCUCAGAACACUGGAGAAUGUACACUGCAUGCUUGGAGAGAUCAGAUUAGUGUGAGGAACUCUGCACUGGAUACAUGCUAGAACAUUCUGUGGCUGUGUUCUUUACAGGGACCCAAUUAGUAGCUCACUGACAUUUCCCAGAGAUCUCUGGAAGGCUGACAACGAGGAGAGGGGCUGGUAUAGUUAGUGGAGAGCUUCUGUUGGCCAUUUUAAUGGGUAGACAUUGUUCUGCAAAGAUUUGAAUGAUAUUAUUACAGGAGCUAAAUCUCACUUACAGCACAGAGGCAGUCGUACGGACACUUAUGAAUUUGCCAGACCUAUCUUCCUCAGAGAUAAGGUCUUUGAAUUAUGCAUAACGUUACACCGUGACUGAUGUUUCAUGCACAUUUUUUCAAUAUGUUACGACAGGUAGAAACGCUUCUAGGCAGUGAAAACGUUCCUCUGCUGAUUUACGACUGACAUUAGGAGAUCCUUAGGAAAUGUAAGUUCCUCCUAAUGUGCUUCUUUUCCAAAAAAGGAUACAGAGCGGAGUAUUUUAUAUUAUAUUAGAGCAUGAAGCAGUAACAUAUUCUGCUUUCACACAAUAGAAUUCUUUACUGUUGGGCUGAAAAAAGGUUUCCCACUGAUUUUGCUCCAGGUUAUGGGAAAUGCUGGCCUUUGCACAGAUUUUUAAUGAACAGUUGCAGGCAGAAACAAACAAAAUUCUCAAAGGAUACUCAUUUGGCACAUGACUCCACGGCGGAUGGCCAUUCGCUACGAUCCUGGCUCAUUUCCUGUUAGAGUAGGAGUGAGAGGGAAAGAUGAAGCCUUGGCUUGAUGGGACAAGCCCCCCCCCCCCCCAUGUCACUCUCAGUAUGGGCAGGUCCUUCUGGUUCCUUUGCUGCAGGAAAAAAAACACCAAACACCUAAGGGAGCGGGAAGAUAACAAAAGAACGAACCAGAGUGGAAAAACACCACAGCGCAUAUCUUGAGCCAACAGUCAGGAAGUGCAACUUUUUCUUUGGCUACACCAUAAAAGGAACUGUUUUUAAUUCCCCCCCCCCCCCCCGAAAGGUCUCUGUAGAAACUGCUUGAUUGAACAAAACACAAGAAUGAGAUGUGAUUUCUUAAACGCAGCUCAAUAAAAAAGAUCACCAUUGAUCUGAGCUUUACAGAACAUGUAUAAAUUAUAUAGUGUAAUUGUUAUAUAGUGUAACAGUUUUAUGGUGUAACAACUGUGUCUUUGAAGUGAUAGUGAGUCUUUGUUUCAAGCAAAAUAUGUAAUAUGUAAGUUUUUAUUCAUAGUGUUUCUUUGUAUAUUUCAAUCUGAUUAAAAAGUUUUCACAGAAAGGUAUUCCAUUUAAAUAGGUUUUCCUUAAAAUUGGGUGCGACUUCCUUGCAUUAUUUUGCUACCAACUCUUUUAUAAAAGACUGUACCACUAAAUAAACUCCUGAGUUAUUGUAGAUUAUAGUGUGAUUCGUGUUCAGUGAGAUAGAUUCACAAAUUCACACAGGUGUAACCGAUCACCUAGCAACCAGAUGAACUAUGUCAAGGUAGUGCCUGUCAAUUUUUUAUUAACAAGCAAUUUGUAUAAUUAUAAGUUGCAACAACAUCCUACAAACUUAAUAUUCACUUGCCUUUGCGUCUUUGAAUUUUUUCUUUUGUCACUCAAUACAGUAUAUGUAAUUAUGCUUCUCUAUUAAAUUGCAUUGGAUGAAA